UAUACGAUUAAGUUCCAUAUGAUCUUUCCUUCUGAAAUUUUCUUUCUCCCCCUUAAUUGAUCGUUCUUAUUUAAGAGUUUAGAAUUUGAAGAUAAUGUUCAAUAAAAUUGUCAAUCUCGAAAAUAUAUUUUUUAUAAGUUUCAGCAUAUUUUCAUAAGACUCAAGGUUUGAGAUAAGACAACCUUUAUAGAACUCAACUCAAGGCAAGCAAUGGCAACACAAGGAGGUUUAUCAAAAUCAAUCCAUAAAACAUUCAAGAUAUUCAUCAAAUGGAUGUAACCUUUUGCAUUUAGAUUGAAUAUCUAAAGCUCCCCCUCAAAAGAUGCAUUCUUCUUUAAUCAUUCUUUUCUUUGUUGAAUUUCAGAUGUUGAUGACAAGCGUGAAUAGAACUGAAAUUCUAUGAUAUCGAGAAUGUAGAGUGAUCUAGAAUUAUUCAAAAUUUGUAGCAAUUACUCUUUCUAAUCCUUCAAGAACAAGUUAUGCUUUCUCUUAAUCUUAGAGAAAAUGUAUAGAAAUAUUAAUCAGAAAAUGAUUCAUUUGAAGCUCAAUUUCUUUCAAAAGCAUUUA
Molecule: long non-coding RNA, 567 nt
Filed under: Phoenix dactylifera (date palm)
Lineage: Eukaryota; Viridiplantae; Streptophyta; Magnoliopsida; Arecales; Arecaceae
Description: long non-coding RNA (PDAC_LNC020184)
Source: RNAcentral